CAAUUUUUAAAGACCAUGGCAAACAAACAUAUUAACAAACACAUAAAGCAUAAAAUAAAUCAUCCAAAGAAGGGGGAAAGGAGAAAAGAGUUACGACCAAUAUCCUAUUAAUACAAUUUACCCUUUAACCCAUUAAAAUUUCCUAACCCAUUAUUAUAAAUAAGCAAUAAUAGAACCCAUUAAGGUCUUUUACAUCAAGCUUAAUAAUUACCAACAAUAAAUAAACUUAACCAUACAACCACAAUCACAGAAUAUAUACACCAACAAAAUUAAACAUACACACUCAUUCAUUCAUAAUGACAAAGUAAUGAAUGUUAAUGUUGAUAUAUUGUAAGGUUUGAUUAACAAAACUAAAGAGCAAUAAAGUAAAGUGCAUCAAAAUAAAGAACUGGAAUUUAAAAUGUGUAAAGCUAAAGGAACAGUAAACUAAAAGCAUUAAUUUAACGGUUUAAACAAUAUCUAAGAUCAAAGUCUUGAAGUUCAUCAUGGUUUAUGAACAAAUUGAUUCAUCACUACCGGUUUCUUAUUGAUUUUAUGUUUAUUUAGUCUAUAAUGAGUCGCAUUCGCGAUUUAGAGCAAGAUAGCCCUGUGCUUGACUCAAAGGAACUCUGAAUCGAGACCAUUUUAUUGAUUUUUAUGUUCUAGACCUUUGAAAUGAAGGUUCGUACGCCACUAUAGAAUUCUUCUAGUUGAUCACUGAUUUCGCUCCCAACUAGUUAUAAGAAGGUGUUUUUAAGACACCCAAAUCAAGAAAAAGAUGAAGAAAUGUUAAAAGGCUCUCAAGGGUUACCUUAUCUUGAAGAAAUCCAAAGAGUUUGGGGAAAAAGGAAUCAAAGACCCAAAACCUUUCAACUUGAAUCAAUGAAUCCGAGAUAAGUUUUAAUCUCAGUGUUUCUGGGUUUUUUAGUCACUAAAUAAGGGAUGAAUUUCUAUAAAUGUUUGUAUAAACACCUAGAAUCCAAGAGAAAACACAAGUUUUCUUAGGUUAAAGGCGUUGAGUAUAAAAAAAAUAAGAGUUUCCCUUAUCCACUUAAAAAAACCUCCUUUGCAUAAUUCCCAAUGUCCUAUUUAUAAGCAAAUGGUAAAAGUGUUGCCCUAUUCUAGGGCUUAGGUGGCAAGUGCCACUGGUGGGCCCUAAAAUCGAUCCGAGCCGUUUUUACUAAAUUAGACCGGGUGGCACGUAAAAUGAGGUGGCAUACCAAAAAGUGCGUCGAGCAGACCUAAAGCACUUCCUAGGCCCAGUUUUGCUGCGAAAUCCCUAGAAAUCCAAAAAAGUAAAUACAAUCAAACAACUCAAUUAUCUUAGCCGCGGACCAUUGGUUCGGGAAUUAGAGCAAUCGGAUGUCCCAAUUCGGUUUUAUGCAGAAAGGUUAUCAUCACUUAGAAUUUUGGGACAAAAAUUGAGCGUCUGCAGCUUCAAAUGCCUUCUUCUUAUUCUACUUCUUCUUGGGCUUCUUCUUAGCUUUAGAAGACUGAACUAGAAGUACAUGAGCUUUAUCCUUCUUAAAGGUUCCUCCAAUAGUGGUAAGCACAUCUAACAACUCAGGUAUGAAUGCAUCCAACUUGUUCAUAUUAAAAUUCAAAAUAAAUUGUGAAUAGCUAGGUGGUAAGGAGUAUAAGACUAAGUCAAUAGUUAAUUCAUGGUCCAUACAAUGUCUAAUUGGCCCAAUUUCUCAAAAUAACCAAUCAUUUUCAGAGCGUGAACACGGACUGAAGAGCUUUCUGCUAUUUUACAGCGGAACAAUUCUUUAGAGGCUCAUACCUCUCAGCCCCACCUUGAGAAUCAAAUAGUUCCCUGAGAUGUAAGAUAAUGGUGCAAUCAUCCAUAUUAUCAUGCUGCUUUUGAGGGUCAGGAAUCAUACUGGCUAACAUUAGACAUGUAGCUUGCUCGACAUCAUCAAUAUGAUGAAUAUAGUUAUCCUUUUCCUCAUCAGCAACAUCAUUAGUGGGAAUAUCAGGUUUGUUUUUAUUAAGGACAUAUAACCUCUUUUCUUGCUUGAGAACAAUUCUCAAAUUGCGAUACUAGCCCAAACAGUUGACCUUGAGAAUUUCAAUAGCAUAUGGAAGAGUUCCAUACAAAUCAGGAUUUUGUUUGAUGUUCGCAAUCUACUGAACGGUUGCCGAAUUCUACUUUAUUUGUGGCAUAAUCGGGCACUCAAAAAAGUUUUUCCAUAACUUGGUGGAGGGAUUGUUGCCGCCAUAAGAAGUAUGUAUUCCUUUAAAAUUAGGUCUGGUUCACAGGGGUUUGUCAGGCUGAGGGAGCGCAAUGGUUGCAAGAUGAAGUUCCGAUGGAGUAGGCAGCUACUAAGGAAAUAGUUGGAGUUGGAGGAAAUAGUGGAAGUCAGUUUGAUCCCAUACACAAAGCUGAUUGUGGCCUAGAAAGGGAUCGU
RNAcentral lists this long non-coding RNA (2390 nucleotides) under Jatropha curcas. RNAcentral's name for it is "long non-coding RNA (JCUR_LNC001294)". Lineage: Eukaryota; Viridiplantae; Streptophyta; Magnoliopsida; Malpighiales; Euphorbiaceae. The record is from RNAcentral.